GGUUAAGUGACUAAGCGUACACGGUGGAUGCCUUGGCAGUCAGAGGCGAUGAAAGACGUAGUAACUUGCGAUAAGCCCAGAUUAGGUAGUAACAACCAUUUGAGUCUGGGAUUUCUGAAUGGGGAAACCCACGUGCAUAAGCACGUAUCCUUACCUGAAUACAUAGGGUAAGGAGGCGAACCGGGGGAACUGAAACAUCUAAGUACCCCGAGGAAAAGAAAUCAACCGAGAUUCCGAAAGUAGCGGCGAGCGAAAUUGGACUAGCCCUUAAGCUUUACACGCGUUAGACGAACGGUCUGGAAAGUCCGACGAUACAGGGUGAUAGUCCCGUAGUUGACGACGUGUGUUCAGUGAAAUCGAGUAGGGCGGGACACGUGAUAUCCUGUCUGAAUAUGGGGGGACCAUCCUCCAAGGCUAAAUACUACUGACUGACCGAUAGUGAACCAGUACCGUGAGGGAAAGGCGAAAAGAACCCCUGUGAGGGGAGUGAAAUAGAACCUGAAACCGUGUACGUACAAGCAGUAGGAGCAGGCUUUGUCCUGUGACUGCGUACCUUUUGUAUAAUGGGUCAGCGACUUAUAUUCAGUGGCAAGGUUAACCAUCUAGGGGAGCCGUAGGGAAACCGAGUCUUAACUGGGCGUUCAGUCUCUGGAUAUAGACCCGAAACCAGGUGAUCUAGCCAUGGGCAGGUUGAAGGUUGAGUAACAUCAACUGGAGGACCGAACCGACUAAUGUUGAAAAAUUAGCGGAUGACUUGUGGCUAGGGGUGAAAGGCCAAUCAAACCUGGAGAUAGCUGGUUCUCCCCGAAAGCUAUUUAGGUAGCGCCUCGGACGAAUACUACUGGGGGUAGAGCACUGUUAAGGCUAGGGGGUCAUCCCGACUUACCAACCCUUUGCAAACUCCGAAUACCAGUAAGUACUAUCCGGGAGACACACGGCGGGUGCUAACGUCCGUCGUGGAGAGGGAAACAACCCAGACCGCCAGCUAAGGUCCCAAAUUACUACUAAGUGGGAAACGAUGUGGGAAGGCUCAGACAGCCAGGAUGUUGGCUUAGAAGCAGCCAUCAUUUAAAGAAAGCGUAAUAGCUCACUGGUCGAGUCGGCCUGCGCGGAAGAUGUAACGGGGCUAAGUAGUAAACCGAAGCUGCGGCAAUGUGCUUUUGCACAUUGGGUAGGGGAGCGUUCUGUAAGCGGUUGAAGGUGUGUGGUAACGCAUGCUGGACGUAUCAGAAGUGCGAAUGCUGACAUGAGUAACGAUAAAGGGGGUGAAAAACCUCCUCGCCGGAAGACCAAGGGUUCCUGUCCAACGUUAAUCGGGGCAGGGUAAGUCGACCCCUAAGGCGAGGCCGAAAGGCGUAGUCGAUGGGAAACGGGUUAAUAUUCCCGUACUUCUUACAAUUGCGAUGGGGGGACGGAGAAGGCUAGGUGGGCCUGGCGACGGUUGUCCAGGUUCAAGUGCGUAGGCUUAAGAGUUAGGUAAAUCCGGCUCUUUUUAAGGCUGAGACACGACGUCGAGCACCUACGGGUGUGAAGUCAUUGAUGCCAUGCUUCCAGGAAAAGCCUCUAAGCUUCAGAUUGUAAGGAAUCGUACCCCAAACCGACACAGGUGGUCGGGUAGAGAAUACCAAGGCGCUUGAGAGAACUCGGGUGAAGGAACUAGGCAAAAUGGUACCGUAACUUCGGGAGAAGGUACGCUCUUGAUGGUGAAGUCCCUUGCGGAUGGAGCUGACGAGAGUCGCAGAUACCAGGUGGCUGCAACUGUUUAUUAAAAACACAGCACUGUGCAAAAUCGUAAGAUGACGUAUACGGUGUGACGCCUGCCCGGUGCCGGAAGGUUAAUUGAUGGGGUUAGACUUCGGUCGAAGCUCUUGAUCGAAGCCCCGGUAAACGGCGGCCGUAACUAUAACGGUCCUAAGGUAGCGAAAUUCCUUGUCGGGUAAGUUCCGACCUGCACGAAUGGCGUAAUGAUGGCCACGCUGUCUCCACCCGAGACUCAGUGAAAUUGAAAUCGCUGUGAAGAUGCAGUGUACCCGCGGCUAGACGGAAAGACCCCGUGAACCUUUACUACAGCUUGGCACUGAACAUUGACCCUACAUGUGUAGGAUAGGUGGGAGGCUUUGAAGCACGUACGCCAGUAUGUGUGGAGCCGUCCUUGAAAUACCACCCUUGUAGUGUUGAUGUUCUAACGUCGACCCCUUAUCGGGGUUGCGGACAGUGCCUGGUGGGUAGUUUGACUGGGGCGGUCUCCUCCCAAAGAGUAACGGAGGAGCACGAAGGUGGGCUAAUCACGGUUGGACAUCGUGAGGUUAGUGCAAUGGCAUAAGCCCGCUUGACUGCGAGAAUGACAAUUCGAGCAGGUGCGAAAGCAGGUCAUAGUGAUCCGGUGGUUCUGAAUGGAAGGGCCAUCGCUCAACGGAUAAAAGGUACUCCGGGGAUAACAGGCUGAUACCGCCCAAGAGUUCAUAUCGACGGCGGUGUUUGGCACCUCGAUGUCGGCUCAUCACAUCCUGGGGCUGAAGUCGGUCCCAAGGGUAUGGCUGUUCGCCAUUUAAAGUGGUACGCGAGCUGGGUUUAGAACGUCGUGAGACAGUUCGGUCCCUAUCUGCCGUGGGCGUUGGAAGAUUGAAGGGGGCUGCUCCUAGUACGAGAGGACCGGAGUGGACGAACCUCUGGUGUUCGGGUUGUGUCGCCAGACGCAUUGCCCGGUAGCUAAGUUCGGAAUCGAUAACCGCUGAAAGCAUCUAAGCGGGAAGCGAGCCCUGAGAUGAGUCUUCCCUGAUACUUUAAGUAUCCUAAAGGGUUGUCGGAGACUACGACGUUGAUAGGUCAGGUGUGUAAGUGCUGUGAGGCAUUGAGCUAACUGAUACUAAUUGCCCGUGAGGCUUAACCAU
This 2891-nucleotide ribosomal RNA is filed under the name Vibrio parahaemolyticus. RNAcentral describes it as "23S ribosomal RNA". It matches the Rfam family "Bacterial large subunit ribosomal RNA". Lineage: Bacteria; Pseudomonadati; Pseudomonadota; Gammaproteobacteria; Vibrionales; Vibrionaceae. The record is from RNAcentral.